GUCAGCAAUAUGAUUUCUAUUUCUUAAUUGGUUAUGCAAGUUUUCUGUGAUCCGUUUUCACUUUUCUAUUUAGUGUCAUUUCUCUUUACGCCUUUAUUCAUACCUGUUUUAUUUACUUGGGGAAGGGGGUCCUGUCCUUAAUUGCAUACUUUUUCAACAUAUUCAACUUCCAUUUUGUUUUUCAUCUUAAUUUUUCUCAUUUUUUUUCUUCAAUCACAUUAAACCAUUCCUUUUUCAAGCAAAUAUGGAAUGGGCAAACAGAAUCCAUUAACCACUCAU
RNAcentral lists this unclassified non-coding RNA (279 nucleotides) under Hevea brasiliensis (rubber tree). Lineage: Eukaryota; Viridiplantae; Streptophyta; Magnoliopsida; Malpighiales; Euphorbiaceae. The record is from RNAcentral.